GACAGAUUUAUUGCGACAGGGAAUACAUUUUCUCUGGGCAUGGUAAUAAUGUAUGGACAGCUGUGGUAAUUUAACAGCUGACAAAGUUUUUUUAUCGGGGACUUGUACUCGUAUGUGGGUAAAGAUAAACACGCAUUCAUGGAUGACUCCACCACGGAUUGAAUUGAGACACAACAAUGCUGACAGCUAAAUUAGGAUUGAUUUUGGUGGUGCUUCUUGUCACAGCUCUUCAGGGUGGAAGAGCUACAGAAUGUGAGAGAAACAUUUCAAAUAUUUUCACUGAGUUGGAACAGGAAGCCAAGAACAAACAAGGCAGUAUGACAGCCAGUGAUGUGUAUCAGGUCAUGUCUGAGUGGAUACAUUUCGGUCCUGGGAAUGUCACGGACCAGUGUCUCCAUCAAGGUGACAAUACUACAGACUGUAUACUCAACAAGUGCCUGACAUUUCAAGAUAUUCUUCAUCUUCAUGACUUGAAUUCCACCUCAACAAUCUCACAAGAUGACCUACAACAGUUGUCUCCCUUCCUUUCCAACAUUCUCCAAGCCAAAUCUUGUAAUAGUAUGCCUUUGAAGGAGGGUACUGGAGAAAGCCACGAAGGCAAACCACAAAUGUUAAAAGCAUGGGGCUAUGGAUUUUUAUUUGUUACAAUCAUCAACAUUUGUUCCCUUGCUGGGGCUAUGGUUCUGCCCUUUAUGAAAAAGACUGUGUAUAAACAGCUUCUGAUUUUCAUGAUCGGUUUGGCUGUUGGUUGUCUGGCUGCCAAUGGACUCCUUGUGCUCAUACCAGAGGCGCUGGGACUGAUGUACAUAAACGAUCAUGAAGUCAGCUGGAACUAUGUGUGGAAAACUACGACAGUCCUUGGUGGAAUCUAUCUCUUCUUCCUCAUUGAACGCUUCCUCAAGAUGAUCCUGGGAUGGAGAGAGAGAAGGAACAAGAAUAGAUACCAGUCUGAUGGUGCUGAUGACGACGAAGAUAUGUACUCUUCCAUCAAGUCGAAAACGCCUAUCACAACGACCCAGCGUUACAAAAACCCCAAGAACCUACCCACAGGUCUGCCAACAUCCAACAGUGAGACGCCACUCACGGAUGACAGCUCCCAGGAUAACGUUCUGUCUAUCAAUGUCAUUGAGAUAAAACCUCAGAAUGGCGGAACAGCUCAUGCUGAACGUCCAAUUGCCACUGUGGCGUGGAUGAUCAUAUUCGGCGAUGGAAUCCAUAACUUUAUAGACGGUUUGUCCAUCGGAGCUGCUUUUACAGAGAGUAUUCUGGCGGGCAUCAGCAUAUCUCUAGCCAUCAUUUGUGAGGAGCUUCCACAUGAGCUAGGAGACUUCGCUAUAUUAAUCAAUGCGGGAAUGAGCAUGAAGAAGGCCCUGAUGUACAACUUCCUGUCUGCAUGCAUGUGCUACCUCGGCCUGAUAGUGGGUACUCUGUUGGGGGAAAACACGACUGCACAUGACUGGAUCUUUGCUAUAGCUGGAGGAAUGUUCCUCUACAUCUCACUUGUCGAUAUGAUGCCGGAGAUGAACAGUGAAGCGGAGAACAAAGAAAACAAGAGGAUUAUUGGGACUGCGCGGAUAUUUCUACUCCAGAAUGUUGGCAUGAUUCUUGGAUUUGUCAUCAUACUCUUGAUGACUUUAUACGGAUCAGAAAUUAAUUUUGAGCAAUAAGGAGCAUGACACAGUAGCUUACACUUAAAUUCUGGGCUAAAAUGUAAAUCAAAAUUUGCUUCAUUAUAAAAUACAAUUACGCAAAAAAAGAGAGAAAAAAGAUUCACUGGCUAAUGAAAUUUAAAUUUCUAGAAUUAAAUUCAUUGAUUAAUCAAUUACUGCUUUUUUCGAAUUGUAUAUAAUUACAUAGGGUAAUAGCCAGAUUAUUUUAUUCUAUAGCUAGACAUAUAUUUUCAGAGUAGAUAUUACCCGGUAACAAAUUAAAAAUUUCUUGAGCCCUGAACAAAAUCUAAAAACUAUUAAAACACAGGUAUCAGGAUCAUUUGAUUCUAUACAUUGUUGCUCUUUACAAAUAUCCAAAUUAAAAGAAAAAUCAACAGAAUCACUUGUAUUUAAAAAACAUGUUUUUGGACUUUAAAGGCAUGUGAUCUAAAAUUUUUCCUCUUAAAAAAAUUGGCUAAUGCAAUUCAUACAUACAGAAUGUAUAACUAUUGUUUUUGAAAAAAACAUAACAAAGUUUCUUUUACCUUGAAUAUUACGUGAGAAAUUUGUAUGUUGAAAAUCGGCAGGUAAUUAAUAUUGGUACGAAGAAAACAAUAUCUCCUUAAUUACAAUUUUGAAGGUGAAAACAAAACCAUAUAAGUUUUUUUUUUAAUUCAUUGAUUCAUCUUGAGGUUUGUUUCUGUGAAAACCGGACUUAAAUUUACAAUGUUUUAACUUAAGUUUUAAACUGAAUAGGUAAACUGAUACAUGUAUAUUUAUACUAGAUUUACCUGAUAAUGAACCCUUAAUUCAAAUGUUGUAGGACAAUUUAUAACUGUGUCUUAGUAUUAAUUAUGCAUGUACAUAUCAGUAUUGGGAGUACUUAGUAAAAGAGGGUAAAAAAUUUAAGUUUUUUUUUAUCACAGUUAUUAAAGGUUUUUUCCUGGUAUGCAUUUGAAUGGGAAGUUUUAAGAUAUAUAGAUUUGAAAAAAUACCUGGUAUGUAAAAUUGAUCAUGGAAUGUCCAUACACUACCAUCCAUAAAAAUCUAUACACACUCUUUUGACUUGUUGAAGUAUUAUAAGUGAAUCAGAAACUUUUAACUUUUCACUUCCAGUUCCUGGAAGAUUACUGGGGGUAUUCAUUUGUCUGUGACAAUGGCAAUUCCUCAAGAGUAUAACUGAUCUUGAUGAAGUUUCAUGUGGGUCAAGGGAGGACUAAUUUUCCGAAAUUUUCUGAAAAUGUAUGAUUGUUUUUAUAAAGAUGCAUGGCCAAUCAACCCUUCAAUGAUAAUGUUAUCAUAUUAUACAAAUUGUAUUGGAGCCUUAUGGAUGGCAGUGUAUAACCAAAUAUUCCAAAGUGGGCGUGACAAUUUUUUUAUGUGUUAUUGUUUACUUACUUGUGUCUGUAUAAUUUAUAUGUAAUACUAGAUAGUUGUUUCUUUAAAUUUUGUUGUUAAUAUAUUUCAAAGAAUUUUUUUCACAGUUUAAAUAAGCAUUUUUAGGUUAUUACACAAAUUUGGAUUUUUUUUUCUAUUUUUUUUUUAUGGUUUUGUUUCUAUCAUUUUAGACAAAGAGUGUCUAUUCCUGUUCUUAGGACUGGCAAAUAUUUCUACUGCAUAUGUUUCAAUAGGGAUAUUGUGAUUGUAAAAAAUCAUCGAACAAUUUUAAAAAUAAAAUUAAAAAAAAUGCACUAGAUUUGUAUUAGCCUGCUUAAGUUGGAGUGUUAAAAGUUAACUCCUCAUCAUUAUAAGAAUUUGUUUUACAAUGAUCAAUUAGCCAAUCACGAUAUUUGCCAGUAUAGGAAAUAGCAUACACAAAUUUCAAUUAGCAUAAAAUCAUAAUUAAGUGAUACAUUAAAAACACUAAGAUGACUACUAAGUCAUGUAAUGUACAGCAAUAGAAUAAUGGAGGGAAUUCAUUAACAGUGUUAUGUACCCCUGAUAUAUGAUAAAGAUCAUUCAUUGGCCAAGGUCAGUCAUGAGGAGUAGGAGAUUACAGUGUGUCAGUAAGAAUGCUUAAAGUCUUGUUAUGAUGUCAAACUUUCAUGAAUUCACUGAUGGAACAAUUGGUUUGGCAUCAAUUUAGACACUAAGCUAAUAUUAAGUUUUUUUGGCUUAGUGGAAAAAAAGCAAUUGGUUUUCCUUGGUCUCUGUAUAAAUUUUCCCAGUGUACACAAAAUGUAAAUAUUUAUAUAUUAUUUUAAUAGUGGGGUAUGAUCAUGGACAAAAAUACAGAUCUUCUAUGUGGGCAAAAAUACAGCUAGAUCUCGCAUGUAGACAAAAUACAGAUUUCACAUGUAGACAAAAUACAGAUCUUGCAUCUAGACAAAAUACAGAUCUCACAUCUGGGAGAAACACAGAUCUCACAUUGGACAAAAUACAGAUCUCACAUCUGGGAGAAACACAGAUCUCACAUGUACACAAAAUACAGAUCUCACAUCUGGGAGAAACACAGAUCUCACAUUGGACAAAAUACAGAUCUCACAUGUGGACAAAAUACAGAUCUCACAUGUGGACAAAAUACAGAUCUCACAUGUGGACAAAAUACAGAUCUCACAUGUGGACAAAAUACAGAUCUCACAUGUGGACAAAAUACAGAUCUCACAUGUACACAAAAUACAGAUCUCACAUCUGGGAGAAACACAGAUCUCACAUUGGACAAAAUACAGAUCUCACAUGUGGACAAAAUACAGAUCUCACAUGUGGACAAAAUACAGAUCUCACAUGUACACAAAAUACAGAUCUCACAUGUACACAAAAUACAGAUCUCACAUGUACACAAAAUACAGAUCUCACAUCUGGGAGAAACACAGAUCUCACAUUGGACAAAAUACAGAUCUCACAUGUGGACAAAAUACAGAUCUCACAUGUGGACAAAAUACAGAUCUCACAUGUAGACAAAAUACAGAUCUCACAUGUAGACAAAAUACAGAUCUCACACGUGGGGAAAAUACAGAUCUCACAUGUAGACAAAAUACAGAUCUCACAUGUAGACAAAAUGCAGAUCUCACACCUGGGGAAAAUACAGAUCUCACAUGUGGACAAAAUACAGAUCUGACAUGUGGACAAAAUACAGAUCUCACAUGUAGACAAAAUACAGAUCUCACAUGUGGACAAAAUACAGAUCUCACACGUGGGGAAAAUAUACCAAAAUUUUGCUUGUGGUCAGAAAUACAGCUAGAUCUCACUGGGCAAAAAUAUUGAUCUUGUGUAUAUAGAUACCAAGUUUUACCGAAAUAUUAUACCUUUGUAAUUGUUUUAUUUUAAAUAGUCAGGUUUGUUUUUUUCUACAAUUCAACUUUUGAGCUUUCAUGAUUAAUUAUGCAGCAGUUUUACUAAGUUAAAAAUUAUUUUUUGUUUAACAGAGAAAAGUUUUCUUUUCUUUUUUUUCAUUUGUUUACUUUUCUUUUUAUUGAUGGUAGCUAAUUAUAAUGAAAUGAUUCAGUGUUGGGUCAUUUUAAUAGUUUUAAGGAACAUUUUCACAAGCUUAAUCUUGACUUCUAACCACAUUAAAUCUAUUUUGCUGUCAAUGAUGUGAAUUCAAACGUUAAAAUACAAGAAACUUUGUGCUUCCCUAUGAGGCAUGCAUAUAGUCACCAAUUUAUAUCUUUGUCCACAGACCAAAUCUACUAGCGCAAGGCCAUAAAUUGACCUGGGAUUUUUCUGUCUUUGUUAAGGAAUUAAAUAUAAUUCACAAAGCAGAUACGUAUAAGGUAAGGUGAUUUACAGUAAAUCAAGGCACAUUCCAAAAUUUCUGUGAAAAAUACAUAAUUUUUGUUGUAAACUUUAACCUAUAACAACAUUCAUCAAAUUCAUUCUUCUAUUCUAGCUUUAAGAUACCAUGUCACAAAAUUUGUUUCUGUCAUCAUCAGAUUAGACUUAUGGUACAUAGCUGAUAAAGCUUAUACAUUGGUUCCAAUGCUGGGUGGAAUUUUACUGGUUAUUUCUGUUCUUUGUUGGAAGUUUUACUUCAAGUUCAGGUACUUUUAUGAGAAUGGUCAUUUUCAGAAGAAAUGGAGCAAGAUCAAAGAUAAAUCUGUUACCCACCCCCCCCACCCACCCACUGUAUGGUAAAAGAGAACCAUUGAAUUGAGUAUACAGACUUUUAUAUAACCAAUUCCAUAUUGUGUUGUAUUGUCCCACCUAUUAUAAACCACUUGGAAUAGUAGUUGUGCAUCUUUUGUAACAUGAUGCAGGGGAGAAAGCUUGUAGGUGCCUAGUUGGACACUCCCUACCCUGGCAAGCAAUGCUAUAUAUAUAUAUUAAUGAUUAUAUGUUCCAUAUUCUGUGCCUUAAUAAAAAGUCAUAGACUUACCAGUUCUGUUGCCAAUACUAAGAUUGAUAUCACUAAUCACUGCUCCUUCCCUAACCUCUGAAACAUGUCAACUUUGGUAAUUCUUUACUGUAGAGUGUUUCAGUAAUGAUCAACUCACCCAAUGUUUUUGCAAUGAAAUAAUGUUUGUUGUACCAGUACCGUUUUAUCCACAAAUAAGCUCCUGCAUGACCACAAAUAAACCCACUUCAGUUUCGCAGAUUCAUCAAUUUUAAAAUGGUAAGCUAACAGUGGCUCACAAAUAAGCCCUCUCCGAGCUUUUAAUACUUAAUCUUUACACGAGUGGUUUACAUGAGGGGAGGGGCUUAUUUGAGGAUAAAUACAGACUGAAUUUUACACAAGAGGAGGGGGCUAAUCUGUGGAUAAAUGUGGUACUAAACUUUAACACCAGGGGUGGGGACUGAUUUUAGUAUAAAUACAGCACUUAAUUAACAUUUACACGAGGAGUGGGGACUGAUUUUAGUAUAAAUACAGCACUAAACUUUUACACGAGGAGUGGGGACUGAUUUUAGUAUAAAUACAGCACUAAACUUUUACACGAGGAGUGGGGACUGAUUUUAGUAUAAAUACAGCACUAAACUUUUACACGAGGAGUGGGGACUGAUUUUAGUAUAAAUACAGCACUAAACUUUUACACAAGGAGUGGGGACUGAUUUUAGUAUAAAUACAGCACUAAACUUUUAUACGAGGAGUGGGGACUGAUUUUAGUAUAAAUUCAGCACUUAACAUUUACACGAGGGGUUAGGGCUAAUUUAAGAAUAGAUAAGUUACUAGAUGGCGCUGCCAUGUUGUCAUUGAUGACAGACAGUAAACAAAAUAGUUCGGAAAUUAAAUACUGAAAUCAACAUGUUUUACAAUACAGCUGUACUUAUCAAAAUAUUUAGACUUUUAUUUUUAUGAAUUGACAAACUCAUCAUUAAUAUAUAUUUCUUUGACUGUUUUGCAUAAAAUCAUAAUUUACCGCAGUGACUGUACAGUUAUACUUUGACAAGUGCGUAACGAGGGCGGCCGCUAUCGAUGCGCAAGCCUAUUCACCAUUUGUAAUUAUUGAAAAUUAAUAACACUGGACUUGAUAAGCCUCAUCUAGUGACAAUACAAUGCCAGUGUUAAACAUAUAUUUUAUUACGAAUCUCACUGCAAGGUUUGCUUUUAUUCUAAACUGUUGCCUUGUUUUUCUUAUUGCACAAUUAAACAGUAUCAUUUAAAGGAGGCAUUAAAAUAAGUUUGUAAAGAUGACAACUUAUUUAUAUAACCUCCAUAAAUAUUGAUCUGUUAUUAAUAUUUUUUAUUACAAUAUUUUGAAGCUAUUCACGUUUUGUAACCAUUGGAUAAGAAUUAUUUAUAAUUUAUAAUUGGGAUUUUUUUAUUAUUCCAUGACAUAGGACUUUAUAAACUCGUACAUUCUAGCUGAAAUAUAUUUAAACUGGAUUAGUGACUUUUUGUGUAUUUUUAUGUUUAUGAUUGUAUGAUAUGAUAUAUCUCGUUGAUACAUGUACUGCAUUUAUCCUACUAAAGCUACCUGUGCUCUGACAAUCUCAAGCUGGUGUAGAAGGGCAGGCUUGCUUCACUAUUGAUUUGAUUUAAUUUGAACUUUUAUGGAAGUAUUUCGGCCAAGGAUAUUUUUGAUCCACCUUCAUUUAUGGAAGCUUAAAAGAAUCUGUUCUUGAAUUAUAUAAAAUACUUGUUAAUUGAAAAAAUUGAAGUCAUUGAAAAAGCAAUAUAUAUAAAAAAAAAAACCCAUAUAUUUUGUUCAUUUAAGUAAAAGAAUGAGUCAACCAUGCCAAAGUAGCCUUGUUUGUCUACUAGACUUCAAUUAACAUGAGUGCAUGGUCCAAAUACCAGACAGGUGUAAUGAAGAAUGAAUAUAGCUCAUAGCGGAUCACACAUGAUUGGCUAUGCAAUACGGAUUUAUUAAUCAAGUUCAAUAAUUCGAUGUUAUACAAUCAUUUAAUGAGUUUAAUAAAUUCCAUAUUACUUGGCCACAAGUGUAAGAUUCUGUUUAUCACAAAACUUGUAUUUAUGGAAAGAUAAUUCAAAACUUUCAAAUUUAUAUAUAAAACAGACAGAUUUCAUCUUGGAUGGUACAAUUUUCGCUGCAGACCAUUGUGGCAUACACAGAUUCAUGGUGACGUCAUGAAGUAUAUUUGACAUCACAGGAGUGUUAUUACGACAUGUACGUGUCUUAUAUUUAUAAUAAGGCCGUAUGACAUGUUAGAACAGGUCAGUUAUGGGAUAUAUGUUUCUCUUCAAUGAUAGCGAUAUCUAUCAUUAAACUUUUGUACAAUCAUAUCACUAUAGUAACAAUCACAUACCAAUGUUAAUGUAUUAUUGUAUACAGAACUAAGACCAAGAAUUGCAAUUUGUGUUGAUAUAUUUGUAGAUUUUUUCCCUUGCCAUAUAUUCAAAUUGUUUUGAAUCAUUUAAUAUUUUGUUAUUGGUGUAAUUGUGUCAGUACAGAAUCAAUUGUAUAAUAGUAUAUGUAUUUAGUGGGUGAAUCCGUAAGGUGUUACAGUAAUUGUAUGUCAGCUUCUGUGAUCUCAUGGAAAUGUGUAAGUAUUCAACACAUAUACAUCAUUCAUUCUCAAUUAAUGCAUGUAGAUCAUUAUUGAUUUCAUUUGAGAUAGAUGCAAUUGUUCCUCAACCUUAUGAAGAUGGUUAUCUUUAAACCCAGGGUCUCAACCAUUUGAAGGUUGAUAAGUUAUUGAAGUAACAUCAAAGAAGGUUAGUAAUUGUUUGAUUGUACGAGUCUCAUUAUAGUAGAUCAUGUGUGAAAGACUUGACCGUUAAUGUGACAUUUUAAAUGACAAUGUGUCCACCGAAUGAUGGAAUAUGGUGUUUAAAACUUUUAUGUUAAAAAAACCCCUUAUAAGUCAAAUGUUAUAUUCUAACAUAAUUGCAAGAAUAUUUAAUGGUGUGCUAAUCAUAAUGAUAAAAACAAUGUAUUAACUUCGACAAGCUAUCCCAAGGCCAAUAUUUACUGGUUACAUAUUAUAUCAGAAAUUUGGCUUUGACAAAAGUCCACGACUUCGUCAAAUUCAGCAAAGCAGAUUUUAGCCAUUCAGAUUGUAAGAAAUUAAAAUAAAACAUUUUCACCGGAUUGAAAAGAUUUUUAAGAAAAAAUAUAUGUUUAAUGUUUCAAAAUUUGAAUAUAAAAAUUAAGGAUUUUCCAUUAAUUAAAAAAAAAAAAAACUAUCAAAUUUGUCACCCCUUUCAAUGAAAAAUUUACAGUAUUCUUAGAAGAACUUGCCUCAAUUGCUAAUAUACAUUAUGUAGAUGCAUAUAUCUUGGAUGUCUAUACAUGAUCUGAUUGGAGGGUAAUGGUAACUAUUGUAGUAUUUCAGGUUGAUACAAAAGGUUAUAUAUGUACAUGUAUGAAAGGGUCGUGUGGACUCUGAUAUAAAAUAAUUUACCCCGGCUGUGGUAAUGUAAUGUUGAUGGUCGUUUCUAUAUUAUAUAAGAUAGAUAUAAAUAAAUGAUGGCACUAAAUGAAUCUCAAUGUAUAAUCUUGGUAGAAAUAAUUUUGUAUUUCAUUGUGAGGAUAUUGAUAAAGCUAAUUAAUGCAACGUGUACGUAAUAUGUUACUAUUUAUAGAUUGUCGAAAUUUAUAGAUUGUCGAGAUCCUUACACAUGUGAUGAAUUGUACGAAACUGAUGGGUCUAUUGACAUAGGUGCUAUUUGGUAAAGUAAUUGAAUUGACAACUGCUUGGGUUUUCUGGACAGUGUGAUAAAAACAGUUUUUCUAGAUAUGUACUUUUUUGCUAGAUAUUGUAACUGAAUGAGGCAAAAUCAACUUCCUGUUUAAUGACAGUUUGAUCAUUGGGUUUGGUAAAAUGUCAAAUUCCAUUUAAUUCAAAUUUGGUCUUAAGGUGUACACAAAUUUAUUAUUCUUUUUGCCUUUUUGCAAUAGUGUAACUAUGUAGUAAAAGUACUGUUUAAGGGAAUUUAAAUACAAAUUCAGGCAGUAGGGAAAGUAUCUUUGACAAACCUGAUUCCUUAAUAAUAUUUGUACAUGUAUUAAUUUUGCAGUGGCAAUUGAAUGUUUUGUUUAGAUGCAUUAGAUGCAAUUUUGGAGGUACUGGCAAUGCCAUGAUUCACACAAAGUGUAGAAAUUGGAAUUAUGCAAGAGUAAUAAAAUGGAUUGUAUGAUAAUAUGGAAAAGUAUAGUUUGAAACAUUUAGUGUUUGAAAUGAGAUAUUCACAUUGUGAGGGUUUCUGUAAAUUUUGUAGAUACAGACCAUAAUUUUAAUAGCCAUUUUGCUUUGUUGUGCUUUUCGUGAGGUGAAAUGAGACGCCAGGAUCAUGUCUGCUAGCUAGGUCUUCGCAAAUGAAUAUACAAAACCAUAUGUUGUUUCAAUAUUUGGUAUAUAUACAUGUAUAUGCAAUACACUGUGUAUAUAUAUUUCCUACAUAUGUAUGUCAAACAUACACAUAUAUAUUUGUAUACCACGCUGAUGAUAUUAUAACAUAUUUGUGCCUUUUGCACUGGAUUCUAAUAUACUAGUACUUACAUAUGUCUACUGCACAUGGAAAUACCAGGUGCUGUUCCCAAGCUUGCCUAUAGCUCUGUACUACAUACCUUCCAAAACAUUUGAUAUCCUAACUACAGUGAUUCUGUAGCCUUGUAGAACAAUACAAUAUCAAAACAAACAUAAUACAUCAAUCAUAUAUGGUUGUGUUUGAAAAAAAUCAAAAAACAAAAACCCAGGUCUGUAUCUAUAAAUCAGCACAGCAAUAAGAUAUGUCUGACAGAAUCAACAGUUGUUACACGACUGUGUGAUCGCCAUAUUUGUAUACCAAUCACAAGACAAUUGUUGUGGGUUUGAAUGUUUUGUUGUGGAGAUUUUGUAAUGCUUUUUGAUUUCUAAGGACGGAUAUAUACUGAUUUAUACUAACAACAUACCUCUGGAGACACAAAGUAGAAUGAGCACAUUUAGCUUUAAAAGGGUUCGAUCAUGGACAUUUAUUAUUUUAUACAAGUCUGUGGUUCGAUUAAUGUGUCUUUUAACAUGGUUUUCUGAAGGCAAGACCUUGAAUGAAAAAAGAAGUGCAGGUUUUGAAAUAAAGGAAAAAUAGAACUCAAUGAAAGAAAGUAUAGAUUUUGAAAUAAAGGAAGAACAUUGAAUGAAAGAAAGAAGUACAGAUUAAUUAAAGGAAAUAAAUGAAAAACAACGAAAUAAAGUAUAGAUUUUGAAAUAAAUGAAAAACAUUGAACGAAAGAAAGAAGUAUAGAUUUUGUAAAUAAAUGAAAAACAGAACGAAAGAAAGAAGUAUAGAUUUUUUAAAAUAAAUGAAAAACAGAAGAAAGAAGUAUAGAUUUUGAAAUAAAUGAAAAAGAGAACGAAAGAAAGAAGUUUAGAUUUUGAAAUAAAGGAAAAAACAGAAUGAAUGAAAGGAAAUGGUUGACAUAUGUUUUCCCUUUGGUAUUGUUUCCUAUUUCAGUAUUUGGUGUUGUCAUUGACAGCAAUGCCUUAUACGCAAAUGUGACUGACAUGUGCACGUGCUGUUAGCCGACUGACGGUAGUAGUGAUGUCACCACUCCACUGUAAUAUACUAGUCAUCUGCAGCACUGGUAGAUGUUGAUUUACAAGAGACGGUCCAUUUUGACAGUUGUCUUGAUGUUUUAUGAAUAAAAAAAUAUUGGUUAAUUACU
RNA transcript from Pecten maximus, 11632 nucleotides. It is a transcript of the gene named zinc transporter ZIP14-like, with no coding region annotated. The record is from RefSeq and is a predicted model, not a curated record. The transcript has 10 exons. NCBI's taxonomy places the organism in Eukaryota, Metazoa, Mollusca, Bivalvia, Pectinida, Pectinidae.